This is a long non-coding RNA of Bos taurus (domestic cattle), 438 nucleotides long. The record is from Ensembl. NCBI's taxonomy places the organism in Eukaryota, Metazoa, Chordata, Mammalia, Artiodactyla, Bovidae.
AAGAAUUGCAAUUGAGCUACUUUCGAUUUUUUUUUUAAGCUUUUUGCCUUUUUCUUUGUUCAACCUUAUAAAUGCAGAAAUGCUUGUAGCUUUAAUUGGCUACUUGCACACCUGACACUUGAGCACUCUGUCCCAGCUAGACUGGGAUCCUGACAAGGAGACCCCGCCGCCGCCGCCGCCAAGUCGUUUCAGUCGUGUCCGACUCUGUGCGACCCCACGGACUGCAGCCUACCAGGCUUCUCCGUCCAUGGGAUUCUCCAGGCAAGAACACUGGAGUGGGUUGCCAUUUCCUUCUCCAAGGAGACCCCAGCUUAUGCCAAAUCUUCACCAGGGAUUGAACUCAUGCUUCCUAUAUUGGGAACAUAGAGUCUUAAUCACUGGACCACCGGGGAAGUCUGACACAUUGAUUGCAGUCUUUUGAAAGACCCUGAGGCAGAG